GAUUUUAAAAUUUAUAAAAAUAAACUUCCAUAAGAUGCCAUAUUCGCAUGGCUUAUAUACAAUAGUCAAAAUAUCAUUCUACUUAUAGUUUAUCUUAUACAUGCCAUAAGCUAAGUCCAAAUCACAUGAUUACUACAAUAGUAGAUAGCGUGACGAAGUACUGACGAUCCCCGAGCUAAUAGAAACGAUCUACAAAAAUAAACAGAGAAACAUAACAUUCAAAGUAAGCUUUCAUAAGCUUAGUAAGUCUUAAGCAAUUUAAACAGUUGAACUUAAAAACAAACCAAAUGUUCGAAAUCACAUAAAACUUUCUGAGUACAAUACUAUUUGGCUGAUUAUGCAUAAACACAUAUCAUUUUACUCCGUUUAUACUCAAACUCAUAUAAACAUAGUAUUUACAAGCUUCCGAAUUAACUUUAAUUCUUUCAAAUUUCACUAGUGUAUCAUUUCUUACCCACACUUACUUUCAAAAUUCAUAGUUAAAUGGCAUAUCGAAAACUAUCUUGUAACUUUGCAUAAUAACUGAAUACACACAUAUACAAAUAUACAUAUGAAUUUACAACAUCUUUUCAUAUGUUACUCAUUACACAUUCUUAAUUCCCGUCAGAUCAAUCUCACAUAUAAUAUAUAUAUCACAUACCUGAAUCACUUAAUGUGUAAUACGAGUUCAAUUUAUCAUCAUAGCGUAGGAUCUCGUAGUCAUAUACUUUAUCAAAUUCACUAACACUUGGCCUGCGAGGUAUAAAACUCGAACAUAACACCAGCACGAAGCCUACGGGAUUUACCCCGGAUACACAUCAAAUAUCAUGCAUAUUUAAUCAUAUAUUAACACAUCUCAUUCAACAUAUCACAUUAGUAGUCAUUUGCUACAAUCGGAUAUAAGCUUCAUAUGAACACCAUCAUUUACAUUUCGGUUCAAAAGUCAUACAUAAAUAUCACAUAUCCAUUUCACCAUUCAAACUUAACCCAUAGUGACCAUUCGACUAAAAGUCAUAUACAUAAAUUAUUUAUCACACAACUUAAUUCAAGUAGAACCAAAAGGUCGCAAUUCAUCUUGUCGUAACCAUUUUUUUUGAAAAAACGGGAAUCGACUUAGAUUUUUGGAAAUGAAAACGAAUAGAGGAGUCGCCACCAAUCUUUUUUGAUGAGGUGUGAUCGGAUCACCUUAAAUUAAUCAUUUUAAUAAAAGUUAAGAUUUACUAAAAUGAUAAUUUUUGGUCUACAAAAAUCAGAAAAUGAGUUCGGGAGUCGGUUACGCACAAGGAAGGAUUAGCACCCUCGAUACGCCCAAAAUUGGUACCUAGUUGAUUAAUUAGUGUCUUAGUGUCGAAAAUUUGAAAACUUGAAAGAAUUUAAAAUACGAUCCCUCUUUGUAAAGAAAAUGCUCAAAUGUUAAAGACCUUCUCGUCUCACAAUAUAAAAUGUCACAUCCAGUAAGUUAGGACACGACAUCUUGAAUUUUCGAGAGCAAGCUUGCCUUUUAUAUAAAAAUUCGUGUAUUUCAAAAGGUUAUUCAGUUAGUUAAGGUGAACGAGGAAAAUCGAAACCCAGUAAGUUAGGGCACGUUUCCUCGAAUUCCCGAACACCGAAUAUUGCCUUUACUUGUAAAAAUCUUAUUUCGAGGUAACAAAAUGUCAUACCCGGUAAGUUAGGGCACAACACCUCGUAUCUCUGAGAAUAAGCAUUUUUCAAAACUCAUGUCGCGAUUUAAAAGAGUAUUCCGUUAUUUAGGUUAAAGGAGAAAAAUCGAAACCCAGUAAGUUAGGGCACGAUUGUCUCGAAUUACCAAAUACGGAAUAUUACUUUUAUGAAAGAAU
RNAcentral lists this long non-coding RNA (1817 nucleotides) under Gossypium barbadense (sea-island cotton). RNAcentral describes it as "long non-coding RNA (GBAR_LNC004008)". The record is from RNAcentral. Lineage: Eukaryota; Viridiplantae; Streptophyta; Magnoliopsida; Malvales; Malvaceae.